Molecule: ribosomal RNA, 274 nt
Filed under: uncultured bacterium
Lineage: Bacteria
Description: partial 16S ribosomal RNA
Rfam family: Bacterial small subunit ribosomal RNA
Source: RNAcentral
AUACAGAGGGUGCGAGCGUUAAUCGGAAUUACAGGGCGUAAAGCGCGCGUAGGCGGUCUAUUAAGUCAGAUGUGAAAUCCCAGGGCUCAACCUUGGAACUGCAUCUGAUACUGGUAGACUAGAGUUUUGGAGAGGGAAGUAGAAUUUCAGGUGUAGCGGUGAAAUGCAUAGAGAUCUGAAGGAAUACCAGUGGCGAAGGCGACUUCCUGGCCAAAAACUGACGCUGAGGUGCGAAAGCGUGGGUAGCAAACGGGAUUAGAAACCCGUGUAGUCC